GAGGACCAGGCGCGGGAGCGGGAGCGGGCGACUGGCCGGGCCCUCCCGGUCUCGGCAGCCACUUCUAGCUCCCGGCCCAGCCGGGAGACGCAGGUGCCACGGAGAUGGGCAGCCGGGCGGGUGGCGCAGUGCAGGCAGCUGUAUCAAUCGCUUCCCCUCCAGGGACCCGCCGGUGCCUGGGGACCGCGGGCUGUGCAGCUGUGCCGGGCCUGCGGAGGCCGCCGCCCGGGAGCUGGGAGGCAGGGGGCGCGUGGUCAAGAGCCGCCCUCGACCUGGCCUGGUCGGUCCUGGCCCGGCGUAGGUGACGAUGGCGGGGACCGCGAGGCGCCGGACACCCGAGGCCACGAGCAGCGUCGCCCCUCGCUUUUUCGCGCCCCUCCAGCCCUGCAGUCCUUCCUCUAAGUCCGUCUGCCCCUCACCGAUUGAAAGUGGCCCCGAGAAUAUUGGAUGAGUGAUCUGGUGUCAGGACUGUAAAAUACGCCUAUGAAAACUGGGGGAGAGGAAUAAAACAAGCUGGCAGAACGUUUUUCAUCGUUGAAGCUGCGUGAUGCGAGCAUAUGUGCUCAUCAUACAGUCUCUUUACUUGUGUAUCUGAAAUUUUCCAUAAUAAAAAGUUUAAAGAAGUGAACCAGCGAUUGCCUCUAGGGAGGACAGUGAGGUGGCGGAUGACGGGAGGAAGGAGUCUUAAUUUUUCGCUGUACGCCUUUUUGUGCUAUCUUAGGUUUUUCCCAUUCAAUGUGUUACCUAAUUCAGAAAAUUGGUAAGUUUUUUUUAAGGCUACCAUGGGAAAACAGCGUUCUAAAGAGUAGCGCAACCAGUUCCCCCUAAGAGAGGUGCAUGAUUCGUCGGACUCCGACAGCCUUGGUGUUUGUUAGGCGGUUAAUGGAGACCCACCUGGGAAAUUAGAAAACUACUAAUUGCUUUCAGUGAGAAGCCCGCCCUUCUCCCACAAAUGGAUAAUUUGCUUUUAAUGCACCCAGAAGUUAUCCAGCUCCCUCCGGUAUAAUCGGGGAAACUCCAAAUAAAGGAAAAAUAGUUCAGAGACCCUGCAGCUCUUCCCAAGAGGAAUUUAAGGUGGAUUUUAGUGUGGUUGGAUUGUUUUGCCUACCUGACUGCAGAAUUUAUAUUCUGACAUUUACAAUUUCCUAAAUACUGAAUCAGUACUUUUUCUUGUUUCAAAAUAAAUCAACUUCUUCUGUAGUUUAUAUGAAAAACAAGUCCAUGUCUUCCACUGUGGGUGGGAUGCACAUGACUGUUUUAUUUGGGUCAGUUUUGUCUCUUUUUUUAAUUGGCAGUUUAGGAACUUGUUUUUAUCAUUUUGUUUAAAGAUCUUCUGGCAGAGGUGCAGGCUGCACUUACUAUAAUUAUUUAGAUGACAAGGUGGUGGGUGGUAAUUAAAGGGUAAUUAUCAUCAGAGGCAAAAGGUAAGAUCAAAAAACCAGAAGAGGUGAGGAAACAAUUGCAAGAUCUUCCUGUAGGAGGGUGUCGUGAUCCUCCCAAGACCAAAGGAUAUGUCUAUUAUGCCUGGCCUCUCUAGUGCUGGACACUUGGCAGGGUCAGUGCCUGCAUGAGGCUGAAGUGGAAGGGCUUAUUGUUUAGACUGGUGCCUUUUGAGGGCUUUUAUGUGAUGGUUGUGUUAAGUAAUGAAACUUAGUAGUGUCAAAUUCUUGCCACUCAAAGAAUGAUCCCCAAUCAGCAGUGUAGCAUCACCUGGAAGCCUGUAAGGAACGCAUAAUUCCUAUCCCUCACCCCAGCUCCACUGAAUCAGAACCUGCAUUUUAACAGGAUUCCCCCAGCUGAUUGGGCUGCACAUUAAAGUUUGACAAGCACUGAUUUAAAGUAUACCCAUAGCAUUUGACAGCAAUCUAGUAUUUUUCGUUAGGAUGAGGGAGAGGAAGGGAGAUGAUUAAGAACCUCCUAUGCAUCAGGUAAGAUGCUAGGCUGUUCAGGGGCCUUGUCUGCUUCCCAGUCCAUUACUCUAUCUUACAAGUAAGGAAAUGGGAAGACUUGUAUGUUACAACUAAUGAGGGAGUCAAACUUUUUCUUGACGGUUGGAUACCCUUUAGUACUUCUUGGUGUUCUUGAAUCUGGUAGAAAGUGGUACAUGAUUUGAGAAGUAAAGUGUGUGUGAGUGUGUGUGUGUGUGUGUGUGUGUGUGUGUAUUUAGUCUGUGGAAGCUUAGUAUAUGAAUAUUAAGCAGAGCUCUUCUGGGCUCUGUACCCUUGUGUGGCUCACACUAAAGACACCCCUCGGGCCCCUCCUGGAGGGAGUUCAGACUCCUGGCCCUGCAGGCUGUACCACCACCUUAACCCCUUACCUCCCUGCUUCCACUGAGGCAAGCAAAUGCCCUGAAGUCCCCUCAUUCCCUUACCAGGGCCCUGGGUUCCACACCAGAAUGAGCAAACAGAACUCCAGUGUGGGUAACACAUGGCUGAACAGCUUUUUGUUGUAUUGUUUUUGUUUUCUUAGUUCUCUCAGCUCAGGCUCCAUCCCCCUGGCCACCUCAACCCCUAGAAUGGUUGUCUCCAUUUCAUGAGAAUCUUCACACUAACAUCAAGUAGCCAGUAGGUGCUUUUGGUUUUGCUAGAAUGCCUGUGUGCAAGCUCUCAGAUACCUGAUUUUCUUUCCCCCACUGAAUGUUGUGUUUGUCAGAAACUGAAAUCAUGGAUCAGAGCCAAGUUUGUAGUACCCUUAGGAGGGGCCUCUGCCCUCCUGUGUGCUGCCUGGGUGAGGACAGAACCCCCUAACCUGGAGCUCCACUUGAGUGGGCCCAUACCUGUACUUUCCUCUGAAAAAAGAAAAUCCUGCAAAGAAAAUAGAAGACAUCUGUUCUGCCAUUGCCAUGCCCUUGUUCUAGCCCAGACAUGAGAACUGUCAGAAUUGGAGUUACUAAAUAGAACUUUUAGUCUUUUUCUGAUAAUGUGUAGUAAAGUGUAUUACAACUUAUAGAAUUCUAUUUAGGGAACUACAGGUCAGAAACUACCAUAUUGGUAGCAGUCAAUUUUUCUUUGCCAUCGGAUGUGGAAUAAAAUGUUAAAUUGUA
This 3043-nucleotide long non-coding RNA is filed under the name Homo sapiens (human). RNAcentral describes it as "non-protein coding lnc-OPN4-1:5". Lineage: Eukaryota; Metazoa; Chordata; Mammalia; Primates; Hominidae. The record is from RNAcentral.